AUGGAGUUCGCCACGGGGGCGAUGAGCUCUCUCCUCCCCAAGCUGGGGGAGCUUCUCAAGGAGGAGUACAAGCUGAAGGAGAGUGUGAAGAAGGGGAUAGAAGAACUCGAGGCUGAGCUUGAGAGCAUGCAAGCAGCCCUUGUCAAGGUGUCCAGCGUGCCGCUGGAUCAACUCGACCGGCAGGUCAAAAUUUGGGCUAAUGAGGUCAGGGAGUUGUCCUACGCCAUCGAGGACAGCCUUGACUCCUUCGUGACGCGUGUUGAGGGUGUUGAGCCAACCAAGACCAAAAUCAAGCACUUAUUGAAGACGGCCCGCGGUGAGCUCACCAAGUUCAAGGCAUGGCAUGAAAUGGCCAAUGACAUCAAAAAUAUCGAGAGCCAAGUUAGGAAGAUCAAGGAACGGCGCGACAAGUACAAGAUCGAUGAUGUUGUUGGUAAUCUUGCAACAACUACAGUUGAUCCUCGUCUCUCAUCUCUAUACAACAAGGUAUCUGACCUUGUUGGUAUUGAUAAGGCGAUUGAUGAGCUAGUGAAGGUCUUGUCCGAUGGGGUUGAGAUGUUUGAAAAUAAUCUCAAGAUAGUCUCCAUUGUUGGAUUUGGAGGAUUGGGAAAGACAACUCUUGCAAAAGCAUUGUAUGACAAGCUUAGCAAAACAUAUCAGUGUCAAGGUUUUGUUCCAGUGGGUCAGAAUCCAAACACGAAGAAAGUUCUCAGGGACAUCCUGCUUGAACUUAACACCGAGCUAUACAGAGACGCAGCCACAAUGGAUGAAAGGAAGUUGAUCAACCAGCUGCAAAAGGUCCUUGCAGGCAAAAGGUAUUGGCUGCAUAAUCCUUGUAUACCUCGUAGCUGUCUUGAGCAUCUCGGUAAGUUGGUGCAGCUGAGGUACCUGGGAGUAGUGAAGACAAUGGUCAAGAUCCCGGAAGGAAUAGGACAUGAGCUGAAGUUUCUUGAGAUACUGGAUGUAAGGGCAGGUUUGAUAAGUGAGUUGCCGCCAUCUGUUGGUGAGCUAAUGAAUUUGAGGUGCUUGUGGGCUGAUGAAGGUACAGUGAUGAAGGGCGAGAUAGGAAAGCUGACGUGCCUUGAAGAGCUGGAGCUAUAUUCGGUGGAGAAGUGCCCAAACUUCUCCACAGACGUGGGGAAGCUGACAAAGUUAAGGGUGCUCAAGAUCUUUUUCGGUGAUAUAGAGGAGUCUGCAGGCAAGGCUCUGAUGGAAUCCCUGUGCAACGUGCACAACAUCCAUAGUCUGACAGUCGUGAAUGAUGGUGAUGAUCUUGAGUAUUCGGUUGUCUUCAAUCAUAGUUUGGAAGACUUAGAACCCUGUACAAAGCUGUACGAGGUAAAUAUGAUUAGCAUAGCUAUACCGAGGGUGCCAUCAUGGAUCAAUCAUUUAAGUACUCCACUCCUUUAUCAGCUAUGGUUGCGUGUGGAUGCGGUAGAAGCUCGGGAUGUUCAAACCAUCGGCAGGUUGCCGUCUCUCCUCUUCCUUGUUCUCUGGAGUAAGGAUGAAAAGAACAUAUCAUAUACUUUUAGCAGCAAUGAGUUUCACAAGCUGAGAUGGUUGUUCACGAAGAAGAUAGAGAUCGCUGUUGGAGAAGGAGCAUUGCCGAUGCUUGAAGGGUUGGGAUACAGUGCAAGCGCUGAAAGAAAGGACGCUGCCAGCUUCGUGCCCUGGAGAAGAAAUAGCUGCCCUUUGCUGAAGAAAGUCACCUGUUGUCUUGACUGCACUAACAGCAGCUACAGGGAAGUAGAGCAAACAAAGGAAGCGCUGAGACAGGCUGCUACAACCCAUCCCAAUGCUGAGGAUCUCGAUGUCAACGUAGAAGAAGAAAACUACGAUGAGGCGGCAGGUAGACUCAUUGAUAAUCUCGAGUGGAUCCUACGUGAUUUGGAUGUGGGCCGUCCUGCUGCAUACCAGGAAGAAAGGACACGUCGCAUGAUUAGAUCACUGGAGAGAAGAUUACGUGAUGCUGCGGAGCCUCGAGUUGGGAGGUAUGGUGAACAAGAGAUACGUGACCUUGUUACCAAAUUCAAGAGUUGGAUACGUGACCUUGGGAGGUACGGUGAACAAGAGAUACGUGAUCAUGCAGGUACCGACCUGGUUGAGGCGGGCAAGAGUGCUGUCACAGAUAUAGAGGACAAUGACGAUGAAGAUUAUUAUUACGACGACGACGAUGCUAUCGACCAAGCAGAGGCAGACGACGGUGAAGCCACCUGCAGUGGGGAUCAGCAGGAGGAGGAGGGUGGCAGCCAACCAUGA
Molecule: ribosomal RNA, 2259 nt
Filed under: Triticum aestivum (bread wheat)
Lineage: Eukaryota; Viridiplantae; Streptophyta; Magnoliopsida; Poales; Poaceae
Description: partial small subunit ribosomal RNA
Source: RNAcentral